AACGCGAAGAACCUUACCUGGUCUUGACAUCCACAGAAUCUUGCAGAGAUGCGAGAGUGCCUUCGGGAACUGUGAGACAGGUGCUGCAUGGCUGUCGUCAGCUCGUGUUGUGAAAUGUUGGGUUAAGUCCCGCAACGAGCGCAACCCCUAUCCUUUGUUGCCAGCACGUAGAGGUGGGAACUCAAAGGAGACUGCCGUUGAUAAAGCGGAGGAAGGUGGGGACGACGUCAAGUCAUCAUGGCCCUUACGACCAGGGCUACACACGUGCUACAAUGGCGUAUACAAAGGGCUGCGAAGGUGCGAACUGGAGCGAACCUCAUAAAGUACGUCUAAGUCCGGAUUGGAGUCUGCAACUCGACUCCAUGAAGUCGGAAUCGCUAGUAAUCGUGAAUCAGGAUGUCACGGUGAAUACGUUCCCGGGUCUUGUACACACCG
Molecule: ribosomal RNA, 435 nt
Filed under: uncultured Gammaproteobacteria bacterium
Lineage: Bacteria; Pseudomonadati; Pseudomonadota; Gammaproteobacteria
Description: bacterial SSU rRNA
Rfam family: Bacterial small subunit ribosomal RNA
Source: RNAcentral